RNAcentral lists this ribosomal RNA (303 nucleotides) under uncultured bacterium. RNAcentral's name for it is "partial 16S ribosomal RNA". It matches the Rfam family "Bacterial small subunit ribosomal RNA", at positions 507 to 807 of the family's 1533-position model. The record is from RNAcentral.
AGCAGUCGCCGCGGGAAUACGUAGGGUGCGAGCGUUGUCCGGAAUUACUGGGCGUAAAGCGCACGUAGGCGGCUUUGUAAGUUAGAGGUGAAAGCCCAGAGCUCAACUCUGGAAUUGCCUUUAAGACUGCAUCGCUUGAAUCCAGGAGAGGUGAGUGGAAUUCCGAGUGUAGAGGUGAAAUUCGUAGAUAUUCGGAAGAACACCAGUGGCGAAGGCGGCUCACUGGACUGGUAUUGACGCUGAGGUGCGAAAGCGUGGGGAGCAAACAGGAUUAGAUACCCCCGUAGUCCCUGUCUCUUAUAC